UAAUAAGUGUUUUAUGGCACUUUUUAAAUCCAUAUCCACCUUGUGUGCAAUGUCAGGUCGAUCUUCUUCUUGAGGAUCGACCAAACAUCAACCUUUAUUUUUUAACUCUUUGUCUGAAAAAUAUUAUGAAUAAACAAUUCAAAAUACAACUUUCAACAACGGAUCUCUUAGGCUCUCGCAUCGAUGAAGAACGCAGCGAAAUGCGAUACGUAAUGUGAAUUGCAGAAUUCAGUGAAUCAUCGAAUCUUUGAACGCAUAUUGCGCUCUUUGGUAUUCCGAAGAGCAUGCUUGUUUGAGUAUCAGUAAACACCUCAAAGCUUUUGGAUUUUUUUAUCGAAAGCUUUGGACUUGAGCAAUCCCAACACCAAUCUUUUUGAGAUCGGUGGCGGGUUGCUUGAAAUGCAGGUGCAGCUGGACAUUCUCCUGAGCUAAAAGCAUAUUCAUUUAGUCCCGUCAAACGGAUUAUUACUUUUGCUGCAGCUAACAUAAAGGGAGUUUGACCGUAUUGGCUGACUGAUGCAGGAUUUCACAAGGGUCGGCAACGAUUCUUGUUAAACUCGAUCUCAAAUCAAGUAAGACUACCCGCUGAACUUAAGCAUAUCAAUAAGCGGAGGAAUCGGCAUCUUGGUCAUUUAGAGGAAGUAAAAGUCGUAACAAGGUUUCCGUAGGUGAACCUGCGGAAGGAUCAUUCAUAAUCAAGUGUUUUUAUGGCACUUUCAAAAAUCCAUAUCCACCUUGUGUGCAAUGUCAUCUCUCUGGGGGCUGCCGGCUGUCAAAAGCCGUGUGGUCACCUUUGGGAUUUAUAUCUACUCAGAACCUUAGUGAUUUUGUCUGAAAAAUAUUAUGAAUAAACAAUUCAAAAUA
Molecule: unclassified non-coding RNA, 864 nt
Filed under: soil metagenome
Description: partial contains internal transcribed spacer 1, 5.8S ribosomal RNA, and internal transcribed spacer 2
Rfam family: 5.8S ribosomal RNA (bases 148-302)
Source: RNAcentral